UACGUAGGGUGCGAGCGUUGUCCGGAAUUACUGGGCGUAAAGAGCUCGUAGGUGGUUUGUCGCGUUGUUCGUGAAAACCGGGGGCUUAACCCUCGGCGUGCGGGCGAUACGGGCAGACUUGAGUACUGCAGGGGAGACUGGAAUUCCUGGUGUAGCGGUGGAAUGCGCAGAUAUCGGGAGGAACACCUGAGGCGAAGGCGGGCUACUGGGCCGAUACUGACGCUGAUGCGCGAAAGCCAGGGGAGCAAACGGG
RNAcentral lists this ribosomal RNA (253 nucleotides) under uncultured bacterium. RNAcentral describes it as "partial 16S ribosomal RNA". It matches the Rfam family "Bacterial small subunit ribosomal RNA", at positions 524 to 776 of the family's 1533-position model. The record is from RNAcentral.